AAUUAUAUUUAUAUAUGAUUUUGUUCCAGAUGUCGAAGAGCUGUCGGCCAGACUAAGUUUAAUGGCAGCGUCGUCGAACGAGAAAGGUGAAAUAUUGGAACCGAGCAUGGGACCUGUUCAUGACGGAAACUACCUCAAAAAUAGAUGUGUAUACCUGGAACAGCUACUAAACGUGCGUAAGGAUACAAAGAUCCGGUCGGAUACCGGUAACGUUUACAUUGAAGAAUCCAACCCCACUUCGACAAACAAAACGUAGUUAUUAAUCCAGGAUUUGUACCAAUAGAUACAUAUCCGACAUUCUUUACCUAACUUGCAAUGUGACGGUAUUUGUUAAUGCUUUAUUUAUUACUAUUUUUAAUAUUAAAGUCUAAGCAAUGUUUGUCAGUCUAGAAGAAUUAAUUUUUUUCUGGUUCAUUUAAACACGUGUGAUAUUCUUUAGUGAUUUAACUUUGGAAUGGUGAACCUUGCAGCUAAAGUAACAAAGAUUUGCGUAUUGGAAUCAUACUUUGUACCUUAGUAUAUUUAAGCGUUUUUUUUGUUAAAAUUUUAAGCUUAAUUUAUUCGGUUUACAUAAGUACCUACAUGUAAGUUAUUCUAAGAAAGUUAUUUUUAUAUUGCACUUAGAAAAAGUUUUUCGUUGCCAAACGUCUGGCCGAACAAAUUUGCGAUACAAUUUAGCAUAAACAUGAAUGAACUCCAGUCCAGAAUUAUUAAUAAAAUAUGGCGCAGGCACAAAUUCUAAUUAAAUACCGCGCAUCCCAAAAAUAUAACAAAAUAUUUUGAGUAUAUCUAUUUAGUGUCACAGAACUGUUUACAUCACUGUAUUUUAUGGUGAACUGUAAAUUCGUUCAGUAGCUAAUUUCAAAAUUUAAGAAUGGAGACUUCGGUUCAUUUUCAGUUCAAAUAUCUUCCUUCACUUUUUUACGUUAUACCAGGUGUGGUUUUAAACGACAUUUGUAUCCGCUUUAAAAGAAAUUGCUUCCUUCCGGUAUUCACAACGCCCUGUGUAAAUAUGUUCAUUAUUUUUCUAAGCGUGGAUCAAAUGCCUCAGAUUUCACAUAUUAACUUACUUUGAAGGAUAUCUGAACAUUUCUUCUAAGCAAGUGUGGAACGACUGUUUACAAACAGUUCACAAUAGGUAUUACCUUUCAGUAUCCACCAACAUUUCAGAAUAUAUCCAAGGACUGAAGCAGAACGUGUUUCCCGCUUUGCUUUAGUAACAAGAUCAGAACAAAUUUGGAAUACCUAUUGGAAACACAUGAGGGUACUCAGAAAAUGCUUCCGUUCUUAAUCCGUCAUCUGAAUAAGGUAUCAGUAUCGCAGAAUUAAGCAUUUUGUAGAUACUCUUGAUCACAGUAUUUUAGUAUGUAGCUCAUAAAUGGCUUAAGGUAAAGUUGGGAAAAAAUUAGCAAACAAACAUUUGAACGAGUCAAUUGAAUUUGUUAAUUUGAACUGAAUGUAUACCUACCGCCCUUGUUCUUCGUGUAAUUACUAUAAUUAAGAAUCAGAUUACAAUAAAGUAAUAUAUUUUAGGUCGAUGUUUGAAUGAAUGAAUGAAUGCUAAGUGUUUAAAUUAAAACAAUUUUCGCGUACAUUUAUACCGCUGUUACGCAAUUACUCGAAAUUAGACUAAUUCCAAUUAAUAUGCUUGGCACACUUAGUUAUUUUCAACGUGUGCGAGGUUAAGCUAUUUUCGGUAAUCAAACCUAGACAUCUUUCGAAAAAGUAAUUUUUACGUGACAUACAAUUGCUGCCAAUUUCAUUAUCAAUGCAUAUAUGUGCAUAUUGCUCUGUAAUUAACAUACUCGAUUUGCAAAUACAAAGUUGCAUUGAUCCUCUGUCAAAGUACAAUUAUCGUUGUAGAUACUUCCGCUAUAAAAUCAUUAAUUAUUCAUAUUUAUGUACCAAGUAUGUAGAUAGAAUACUACGCACCUAAAAAGUAACUACCUAGUUAACGUAGUUUGCAAAUAUUGUAAAGAUGUAUGUAUUAUUCAUUCUAUAUGUAAAUUUAAUAAAACUCGACAAAUACGUCUUGAA
This is a long non-coding RNA of Photinus pyralis (common eastern firefly), 2037 nucleotides long. RefSeq lists it as uncharacterized. NCBI's taxonomy places the organism in Eukaryota, Metazoa, Arthropoda, Insecta, Coleoptera, Lampyridae. The record is from RefSeq and is a predicted model, not a curated record. The transcript is spliced from 2 exons.